AGCUUUGCGCAGUGGCAGUAUCGUAGCCAAUGAGGUUUAUCCAAGGCGCGAUUAUUGCUAAUUGAAAAAUCCCACUGGCUGGAGAGGUCCUAACUCUGUCCCUCCCGUUGGGCAUGUAGCUCUGCUGCACUGACCAUUUCCACCCAGCUGUCUCUGCACCCUGGAACCUGUGAAAGAAACUACCAGGUCAAUGCUU
This 196-nucleotide small nuclear RNA is filed under the name Canis lupus familiaris (dog). RNAcentral describes it as "U4 spliceosomal RNA (multiple genes)". The stretch from base 1 to 77 matches the Rfam family "U4 spliceosomal RNA". Lineage: Eukaryota; Metazoa; Chordata; Mammalia; Carnivora; Canidae. The record is from RNAcentral.